This 2711-nucleotide long non-coding RNA is filed under the name Callithrix jacchus (white-tufted-ear marmoset). RNAcentral's name for it is "lncRNA (ENSCJAG00000086622.1)". Lineage: Eukaryota; Metazoa; Chordata; Mammalia; Primates; Cebidae. The record is from RNAcentral.
AACCAGGAUUUGAACUGUAACAGCUGGAUCCAGAGGGCUUACUUCUAAUCAGUAUAAGGCACUCCCUGCUGUUAAUGAGAAUGAAGUCUAUAAGGUCCUUUUACACUGGUCUGGUGCUUCAGAUAAAGAACUUAUCUCACUUGACUCUUUAGGAAAGGCAUGGCAAGUUUUAUGAUCUCUACUUGACAGCUGUGGAAACUGAUGUUCAAAAGUUAACUGACAUGUCCAGAGUCACACAGGUAAUAUACAUGGAAGAAUGGUAUGCAUUUCAUUUUAUUUUUAGUUUUGCAAAUUAUUUCAUAUAUGAUUUGAUGUCUUGUACUUUUACCCCCCUUCAAUUGUGGUAAUUUUGCCAUAUCAUAAAAUAAUUUAAAAACAUCAUGAUUCAUAUAAACUACAUGAUGUUAUAUCUUAUGGAUAUGCAUUAAGUUUUAAACCACUUCCCUAUUGCUGAACUUCUUAGUCUUCACUUAUUGGAGAGAAAGUAUUACUUUUGCUUUCAUUAACAUCCUUUUUCAUAAACUUAGAUCUUUGUCUGGAUAAAUCAUUACUUCCUGAGAACAGACUAAUUCUUAGACGUGGGUUACUGGGUCAAAGAUUAUAAACUCUUGCCUAUUAUCAAAUUGCUCUCCAAGACAUAUAACUACUUAAUAGUUGUUGAAAGUUGAAUGAAACAGAAAGGCUUUUAUCCCAGCAGCGUAUGAAAUCCCUUCUGUGUUAGUCUGAGUUUGGUGAAGAAAAUAGAACCACUGCAAGUUUUUUAGGGAAAAUAGUUUAAUACAGAAUUUAGGGCUUACAUAAAUGUGGGAAGAGUACAGAAGUAAGGUCCAGAAGCCUUUACCCAGAAGCACUUCGGCCUAGAGCACUGGAUCUGGUAGAGUCGGAGCUUGUGGAGAUGUCUGAGAAGCCAUCACAAGGGGUCAACAUGAUUGUAAAGUUGGAACUCAUGGAAAGGUCUAAAAUGCCACUGUCUCCUGCCACUAGGAUCUCUGGCUUCACAUCGCUUCUGCCGUCCAAAUCUCCUUUUCUCUCUUGCUGCUGCUAUGUAAGAAGUGCCCUUCACCUUCUGCCAUGAUUUUGAGGCCUCUUUUGCCAUGUGGAACUGUAAGUCCAUUAACUCUGUUUUUCUUCCCAGUCUCAGGUAUGUCUUUAUCAGCAGCGUGAAAAUGGACUAACACAAUAAUCUAACCCAAACACCGGUUAAUAUAUCUGAAUGUUCAUAUAUAUAUAUAUAUAUGUGAUGAACUGUAUGUGUAUAGCAUAUGUACACACACAUGAUAUAUCCCUAUAUAUGUAUAUAAAUGAUAUACAUAUAGGAUUCACAUAUAUAUUAUAUACAUAUAUAUAGUAUAUACUGAGUUAAUAUAUAUAUGAGUUCUAUGUCUGCCAUUUAUGAAUUGAGUAUUUUAUAUGUACUAAGCUUUGCUCUAAGGGGCUCACAUUAUUUUAGUAUUGAAUGCUUAUAACAUUCCCUCAAGGUGUGUAUUGACAGUCUUGCUUUGUAAAUGAGGUUAUUGAAGUUUAGAAAGGUUAAGUAAUUUGGUGAAAUAUGAUUAGUGGUAAAUGAUGAGCAAUGAAGCUUGACUUUGACCCACAGUCUUUCUAACUUUACAGCACUUACUUCUAAGCACUAUAUUAUAAAGUCUCCAGUGUAAAACAUACUCUGCCUUUAUUCUCUGGAACUUGUAAAACUUUCCCAGGAAUGACCCUUAGCAAUUUUGUCUAAUAUUUCAAAUUUACAAAGGAAAAAUCCAAAGCCUAGAGAAUUAGGAAUAUUCCACUUGGAAUAACUGAAAAGCCCAUAUUAUAUAUGCAAUUCCAAACCUAACCAGGAUGGGAUCUAUGUCUUUUUUUGUCUUUUGUUACCCAAAAACUAGCACAAAACUUAGUAUAACAAAUAGCAAUAUUUGGUGUAUGAAUGAAUGCUUGAAUGAAUGUAUAAAUGUAGCUACUUCCUAUUUAUAAAUCUUUGGUGAUUUUCCCAUUAUUUUUGGGACAAAAUCCUGACCUCUUAUACAAGUCUUAUACGUAGACUUCCAUGACUGAUCAGUCCUGAUGAACUCUCUGAUUGUGCAUAUACAUGAAAUAGGUACUUUAUACUCCAGCAGAGGUGAGUUGACUGACAAUUUUCAGAACAUGUAGUGUUUGCCUCCACCUUUCUGCAUUUGUUCAUGCUAUUACUGGCUGUCUUGAGCUUCCCUUCCUCUGCAUGUUGAGCUGAUAAAGUUCUUAGCUCCUGUAAGUGUUCCCAGGCCUAGAGGGAUUCUCCCUUCCUUGGUGUUUCUGUGGUAAUCUUUAUUAUUUUAAAUUCAGGUUCCACUGCUCACUGCUUGAAAGCUGGAUUUGAGAGACAAGAGUUGGUGGAAGGGAAAACAGGUUUAUUUGAAUAUAUCCAGCUGACAACCUGAGGAGAUGGUGACCUGAUGUCUCAAAGAGCACUGCCAAUUUGCAGUGUAGCCAAAGUGAUUUUAAGUGAGAAGGUGGCAUGGAAACUAUGUGCAAGAAUGGUACAGGGUUCAGGUUUGUGUGUCUUAUUUUGAUCACUCUCUUGAGUAAUGGACCAUCUGGAGGUCUGGCUGGCAUCAUCUUGACUGUCCUCAGGUUAUAAGUUAACUACUGCCGAAAAAUUUUCCUGGAAAAGAAAGAUUCUGCGAUCUCAGCUUCAUACCUUGGUUUCAAGAUUAGCCCCUGGAAUUCUCAAAUUAGCAUAU